CAUCAGCGUCCGGCUGUUAUUUCGCUGUUAUUUCGGGGCGUAAAACUGUCGUCGGCAAGCUUUGUGAUCUCGUUGUGUCGAUGAUGACAUUUGAUCAGCACUUACGAAGAGGUCAGCUAUCGCCAGAUGCAUCACCAGAGUGUUUAUCCGAGAUUUGGAUUUUCGUUUUCGUAUUACGGUCAUUGUCAGCACGGCGAUAUUUCCAGUCGCCGAUAUCACCAUCAGGAUGCUAGUCGGUGCGCGCCGCUGCUGCUGCUGCUGUUGUUGUUGUCGCCGCCGUCGCCGUCGCCAUCGCCGUCGUCGCCGUCGCCGUGUCGCUGGCCGCUCUUCUUCUCUCUCUCUCUUCUGUGCCUCGAGUGACACACGAUGCCGGAGUGUGAGCAGCGCGAUGAUACGUGACACCAGAAGCUGUCGGGAUCAACAUGCGUGGACCACGCUCGGCUGACUUACUCGACGGACAUACUCGGACGUUUAUCUGUGGACAUUGGCGGAUUGGAGCUCUCUCGAGACGCUCCUCGUGACCGCAGCGCGUGCGGCGGAGACAGGCGGUCAUGGACUCUUUCUCUCUUUUUCUUUUUACUCUUGGAAUUUCCCGAUGGAAAAUCGCUCACUUGUACAUAUUAUAGCUGCAUUGUGUGUGUGUGUGUGUGUGUGUGUGUGUGUGUACAGAAACGAAGCUUUUUAGCUAGUCAUUUAGUCGGAUUUUUGAAGAAACGUACGUCGUUACAAGACGCGCAUAUAGCGCAACAAUUUCACUUUUUGGAGCAAUCUUUAUCUGAAAUUAACUCCCUGUCGCCUUAUCACAUAAAUAUAUGUUUACGUGCCACAUAACACCGUGGAGCGGCGGGUCACAGGCUCAAGUGGAUGGAAUUGAACGGGGUGAAUGACAGAGAGAGAGUCGAGAGCGAGAGACGAUAAUUAAUCGUAAUCUUUGGCGAGAUACGGGGCACGCGGAUGUUAUUAGAAAUGAGCAAUAACACGCGGAGGCACAUUCUUCCAAAAAUAAACGGGCAUUACGAAAUAAUAUGCGUGCAUGUGUUUUCUUUUCUUACAAUAUUAUUACACUGAGCUAACAUACGUAUGGAAAAAGUCCCCCUUUUUAAAUGCACUAUAAAUUUUCACCCCGAGAUUAUUAUUAUCUCAAGUCUCCGUGUAUAUGCACACUUUGCUUAUUCCGGCGCUAAUCGUCGCUUGACUCGUAUAUUUCGUAUCGCAACAUAUUUUGCGUCAAGCCGUUGAAAACACGCUCCUUUUAUCGAUAAUAAUAAAAUGUCAUUGUUUUCAUCCGCCAAAUCCUAAGUAGCGCGACACACAAUCGUAGUGUGCGAAGUAUCAUCGUUUAUCGAGCUUUAGUGCGAAGCGAGAUACAUUGCGUAUACAUUAUCGCGAUACAUAAUUUACAACGGUACAGUCCGGUCGUAGAUGUUGCCCCCACAUAACGACGCCGUAAUCAGCAUUAUCGACGACUCUUGCGCGUGUAUCGUUGAUUCCCAAUUUUUCGCGGCAGACGUUAAAAAUUUUAAACGUUAUAACUCGCAUAACUCGCGGGCUUUUUUGUAGACACAAGAGAUUGCGGUGUAAGUUCCAGGAUUCACAUGUAUGCUGAGUAGACGACGAUAAUUAAUUAAAUCGUUGCUAAAUAAAAUG
Molecule: long non-coding RNA, 1647 nt
Filed under: Harpegnathos saltator (Jerdon's jumping ant)
Lineage: Eukaryota; Metazoa; Arthropoda; Insecta; Hymenoptera; Formicidae
Description: uncharacterized LOC112588258
Source: RNAcentral